GACGAACGCUGGCGGCGUGCUUAACACAUGCAAGUCGAACGGAAAGGCCCUGCUUUUGUGGGGUGCUCGAGUGGCGAACGGGUGCGUAACACGUGAGUAACCUGCCCUUGACUUUGGGAUAACUUCAGGAAACUGGGGCUAAUACCGGAUCGGAGCUCCUGCUGCAUGGUGGGGGUUGGAAAGUUUCGGCGAUUGGGGCUGGACUCGCGGCUUAUCAGCUUGUUGGUUGGGUAGUGGCUUACCAAGGCUUUGACGGGUAGCCGGCUUGAGAGGGUGAACGGCGACCUUGGGACUACGAGACGGCCCAGAGUCCUACGGGGGGCAGCAGGGGGGAAUAUUGCACAAUGGGCGGAAGCGUGAUGCAGAAGCGCCGCGGGCGGGAUGACGGCCUUCGGGUUGUAAACCGCUUUCGCCUGUGACGAAGCGUGAGUGACGGUAAUGGGUAAAGAAGCACCGGCUAACUACGUG
RNAcentral lists this ribosomal RNA (468 nucleotides) under uncultured bacterium. RNAcentral's name for it is "partial 16S ribosomal RNA". It matches the Rfam family "Bacterial small subunit ribosomal RNA", at positions 28 to 507 of the family's 1533-position model. The record is from RNAcentral.